UACGUAGGGAGCAAGCGUUGUCCGGAAUCAUUGGGCGUAAAGCGCGCGUAGGUGGCCACAUAAGUCCGUUGUGAAAGUCAAAGGCUCAACCUUUGAAAGCCGAUGGAUACUGUGUGGCUAGAGUACGGAAGAGGCGAGUGGAAUUCCUGGUGUAGCGGUGAAAUGCGCAGAUAUCAGGAAGAACACCCGUGGCGAAGGCGGCUCUCUGGGACGGUACUGACGCUGAGACGCGAAAGCGUGGGGAGCAAACAGG
This 253-nucleotide ribosomal RNA is filed under the name uncultured bacterium. RNAcentral describes it as "partial 16S ribosomal RNA". It matches the Rfam family "Bacterial small subunit ribosomal RNA", at positions 524 to 776 of the family's 1533-position model. The record is from RNAcentral.